ACACCGUUGGUGAAGUGGUUAUCAUGCUUGCCUUCCAUUUGUUUCAUGUAUCUUUGGGUAAAUUCUUAGGUAGCAAGCGGCUCGGGUUCGAUUCCCGAACGGUGUA
Rhodocollybia butyracea is the source of this 106-nucleotide non-coding RNA. The record is from the annotation of a GenBank genome assembly. NCBI's taxonomy places the organism in Eukaryota, Fungi, Basidiomycota, Agaricomycetes, Agaricales, Omphalotaceae.